RNAcentral lists this ribosomal RNA (492 nucleotides) under uncultured bacterium. RNAcentral describes it as "partial 16S ribosomal RNA". It matches the Rfam family "Bacterial small subunit ribosomal RNA", at positions 29 to 507 of the family's 1533-position model. The record is from RNAcentral.
AGUGAACGCUGGCGGUAGGCCUAACACAUGCAAGUCGAACGGCAGCACAGUAAGAGCUUGCUCUUACGGGUGGCGAGUGGCGGACGGGUGAGGAAUACAUCGGAAUCUACUUUUUCGUGGGGGAUAACGUAGGGAAACUUACGCUAAUACCGCAUACGACCUACGGGUGAAAGCAGGGGAUCUUCGGACCUUUCGCGAUUGAAUGAGCCGAUUUCGGAUUAGCUAGUUGGCGGGGUAAAGGCCCACCAAGGCGACGAUCCGUAGCUGGUCUGAGAGGAUGAUCAGCCACACUGGAACUGAGACACGGUCCAGACUCCUACGGGAGGCAGCAGUGGGGAAUAUUGGACAAUGGGCGCAAGCCUGAUCCAGCCAUACCGCGUGGGUGAAGAAGGCCUUCGGGUUGUAAAGUCCUUUUGUUGGGAAAGAAAAGCAGCAGGUUAAUACCCCGCUGUUCUGACGGUACCCAAAGAAUAAGCACCGGCUAACUUCGUG